GAGUCAAGCUCAUCCGUCAUUAUUCAAGGUGCGUGUUUACCUGCACUAUAAUAAAUAAAUAAAUAAAUAAAAGAAAAAAAGAAAAAGAAAAAGAAAAAGAAAAAUCCUACUAAUAUAAGUGAAAGGUUGUGAAUUUUCGGAUAAGGUUCAGCUUAUCCUCAGCGCCACUGUUCUUUCUUCCACACGUUUGCCUAAAAAAUCAUCAAGAGAUCUUCGAAUCAUUUACUAAAAUUCUUGCCCUUCAAUCAACAUUGCCGUCUUCGUGCAUAGAGAGGAAGGGUGCAUGUGGUAUUGAAUGUUUCUAAAAUUGUAUCAAAACCACUAAACCAGCUGCCGCCGCCGCCGACUUGCGCCAACUCCUCCGCGAGAUCAGGAAAUUUCUACAACACGAUUUUGUUCUGGGCUAAUUGCAGUUGAUAUUAAGCUUCAUUUUGGAGGAAAUUUGCAGAGCUAAGCAAAUUUCAUUUCAACAAUCGCAUUCUCAGCUUAUAAUUUGGGUAUGGCGGCUUAUGGUGCGGCGGCUUCUCUCAAGAAUACGAUUCAGCGUCUUCUACAAUCGUCUCGCAUUUCUCUCGUUUCCCACUCUCCGCAAAUGUUGCAGCCUGCCUACGACGAGAUGGAUCGAUUGCAGAAAGUUCUGCUAAAAUUGGAUGAUACCGACUGCAGCAAGAUCAGGACGAAGGUGAACGCUGUGGAUGAACGAAUCAAAGAGGCAGUUUGGGAGUUUGAAGAUUUACUCGAAUCCCAUGUCUUACAUCAGAUUCUUCCACAACUCGAAAGCGAGAGAGACAACUUGUCAUUCUCUGUAGAGCUGCAGAGUCUGCAACACCAUGUUGAUUGCUUCGUCGAGAUGGUGAAGACGAUGGAGGAGGAAUACACUUAUGAAAUGGAGAAUAUGGCUGAAGAAGAAGGCGAGCCUAUUUCCUCAAGAAGUGAUUUUGGUGGAAUCAAGUCAAAGAUGUUUGGAUUAUCUGAUGAAUUUCAAAAAGCCAGAGAUGAUCUUCUUGAAGAUAAACACUAUUCGAUUAUUGGGAUGGCGGGCGUUGGAAAGACAACUCUUGCUAAACAUAUUUUUGAAGAUCCAUCAAUUCGGAGCCAUUUUGAGUUUCGAGCAUGGGUGAAAGUGGGCAGAAAAUGUGAAUCUAAUGAACUAUUACGAUGUGUUCUAGCUCAAGUGGAUCCCAACGCUUACCAAACACUUACCCAAGGAGAUGAUGAUGAUGAGGUAUUAGAUGGACUAUUGAAAGAAAAAUUAAAGCAUAAGAAAUGUCUCAUCGUGUUGGAUGAUGUUUGGGAGGGACAAGCAACAGAUCACUUGAUCACAAAUUUGUUACUAGAAAAGAAUAUUGAUGGAAAUAUUCGAGUCUUACUUACAAGUAGAAAAGAUAUAAUAGUCACACAGCAUGGGUACGGAAGAGUGCGCUUGUUGAAUGAGAAAGAAAGUAAGGAAUUACUAGGUGAGAAGGUGUUUGGUGAAGAGGGUUUCCCUCCUCAACUUGAGGAACUGGGAGAGAAGAUUGCCAAGAAAUGUGAAGGUCUUCCUCUUAUGAUUGUCACGGUUGCAGAGCUCCUAUCAAAAGCCGACAAGACCCCGGAAUACUGGACCGAGGUACUCGUCAAACAACGUAGUUCAGUCUUCGUGGUUGCAUAUAAUCAAAUAUCAGAGGUACUUUUCCCAAGCUAUGACUACUUACCCCAAUAUUUAAAAAUGUGUUUCCUCUACAUGGGAGCUUUCCGUCCAUAUUUGGAUAUCAACAUAAACUCGCUCAACACUAUGAUGAGUGCUGAUGUGUUUCUUCAACCGAGUGGAGAAGAAAGUUUUGAUAGUUUUUGGAAGACAUGCUUGUACAAACUUUCGCUCUGUUAUCAUCUUGUUCUCGACACAUCACAAGAGGAUGAAUAUUGGUUUUGGCAUAGAAAGUAUCGCGUGCAUUCUUGUUGGCAGCACGUGUGUAGGGUAGAAGCUAGUAGGAUCAAGUUUCUGCAUGUCUUACAAAGUUGUGAUGAUGUUAUAAAAGACCAGCGUCGGUUGUGUACCCAUUGGAACAGUUUAUUAUGCUUCAAACAAGUAUGUGAUUCGAUAAAAGUGAUUGUGCAUCCACCGUCCGUUCUCUCCUUUUUUAUGGUCCUUAUCACCCAUAUCCAAUCCCAAUACAUGCCAUGGGUUUCAAGUUGCUCAGGGUAUUAUAUGCUGAUGAUGUCCGAUUUUACCAUAUCUCAACUGGAAUUUUCAAACUAGUUUGUCUACGAUUUCUUGCCAUAACUUACAAUGGUGACCUCCCUGCUUCCAUAUCCAACCUUCUUCACCUUCAAUUCUUGAUUAUUAGUAGACAUGAGAUCAUUAAAAAGUGUGGAGUUCAUUCUUUUGUGCCUGUACAAAUUUGGGACAUGCAAGAACUAGAGUUUCUUGAGAUAUGGGGAAGGGACCUACCAACCCCUAACUGUGAUGCUACCUUGAAUAAACUCCACACACUUUUUGGUGUGAGUGCAAACAGUUGUACAAGGGAAGUUCUCAAAAGAAUUCCUAAUUUAAAGAGUUUAUCAAUUGAUGUGGAGUUGAAGCCUUAUGAUGAUGAUGAAACCAACCCAUUGAGUUCUUUGAGUUAUAUAUCAAAACUCGAGAAUUUGGUCACACUUAUAUAUAGAAUCACGAAUCCCGAGAUAAAGCGUGAGCUUCCUACUAUUAUUCAUCUUUCAAUGUUCCCAUCAAGUCUCAUUAAAUUAGAAUUGAGUGGCGUUGGAUAUCCUUGGGGGUCUCUAAAUGACAUUGGUUCUCUGCUUCCAAAACUCGAGCUUCUCAUAUUAAGAUGCUAUGCCUUUCUAGGCCCAGAGUGGGAAAUAAAAACGGGGAGUUUCUUGAAUCUUAUUGAACUUCGAAUUGAAGACACCGAUUUGGUGCAAUGGAGACCUCAACGUGGAAGCCUCCCGAGCCUCCGUAUACUAAGGAUGAAUCACUGCUACAAAUUGCAACAACUCUAUUUGUCGGAUGAUCAGUCUUCGAUCACGACCAUUGAAUUAGAGGAGUGCAAUCCUUUAGCUGUCGUUUGUACCGAUCAAUUAAAAGGCAAGGUCUCCAUCAAACUUACCACUCGUUCUUUUUUUUGAGCUCAAGUGACUCUGCAACUUGCCCGACAGGCAAAUGAGAGCGCUGAAGUGGUGAAGCGCCGCGUUAUCUCAUAAUUUAAUUAGAUUGUACUUGUCUUAAUUUAAGGAUUGUAACUUGCUUUGGAUUUUGUUGAGGACUAUGAAACCUGAGUGGUUAAUUGUGUAUGUAGUUUGUAACCGAAAUUGUUGUAAGUUGGAUUUGUGCGAAAGCAUUACUUGUCAUGCAUGAUUUUCACUUUGUUUUGGUAUUGUGUGUAAUCAGUUGGUGUGUUUUCUUUAAUAGAUUAAAAUUAAUCUCAGAUUCUGACAGUAUAUAAGAUGUAACUUAUUUAUGACUCAA
RNA transcript from Salvia miltiorrhiza (redroot sage), 3445 nucleotides. It is a transcript of the gene named putative late blight resistance protein homolog R1C-3, with no coding region annotated. The transcript has 3 exons. Lineage: Eukaryota; Viridiplantae; Streptophyta; Magnoliopsida; Lamiales; Lamiaceae. The record is from RefSeq and is a predicted model, not a curated record.